RNAcentral lists this ribosomal RNA (497 nucleotides) under uncultured bacterium. RNAcentral's name for it is "partial 16S ribosomal RNA". It matches the Rfam family "Bacterial small subunit ribosomal RNA", at positions 28 to 507 of the family's 1533-position model. The record is from RNAcentral.
GAUGAACGCUGGCGGCGUGCCUAAUACAUGCAAGUCGAGCGAACGGACGAGAAGCUUGCUUCUCUGAUGUUAGCGGCGGACGGGUGAGUAACACGUGGAUAACCUACCUAUAAGACUGGGAUAACUUCGGGAAACCGGAGCUAAUACCGGAUGAUAUUUUGAACCGCAUGGUUCAAAAGUGAAAGACGGUCUUGCUGUCACUUAUAGAUGGAUCCGCGCUGCAUUAGCUAGUUGGUAAGGUAACGGCUUACCAAGGCAACGAUGCAUAGCCGACCUGAGAGGGUGAUCGGCCACACUGGAACUGAGACACGGUCCAGACUCCUACGGGAGGCAGCAGUAGGGAAUCUUCCGCAAUGGGCGAAAGCCUGACGGAGCAACGCCGCGUGAGUGAUGAAGGUCUUCGGAUCGUAAAACCCUGUUAUUAGGGAAGAACAGAUGUGUAAGUAACUGUGCACAUCGUGACGGUACCUAAUCAGAAAGCCACGGCUAACUACGUG